AUCUGCGUAGCAUAAUGGAAGAAUGCAACGGACUUCUAAUCCGUUUUUUCGGGAUUCCUGCGGAAUCCUUAUCGCACCCGCUUCGCGGGUUUGGAGGACUGCAGGUUCGAAUCCUGUCGCAGAUA
This 125-nucleotide transfer RNA is filed under the name Lachnospiraceae bacterium. RNAcentral's name for it is "tRNA-Arg". It matches the Rfam family "tRNA". Rfam says of the family: Transfer RNA (tRNA) molecules are approximately 80 nucleotides in length. Their secondary structure includes four short double-helical elements and three loops (D, anti-codon, and T loops). The record is from RNAcentral. Lineage: Bacteria; Bacillati; Bacillota; Clostridia; Lachnospirales; Lachnospiraceae.